RNAcentral lists this ribosomal RNA (301 nucleotides) under uncultured bacterium. Its description in RNAcentral is "partial 16S ribosomal RNA". It matches the Rfam family "Bacterial small subunit ribosomal RNA", at positions 509 to 807 of the family's 1533-position model. The record is from RNAcentral.
CAGCAGCCACGGUAAUACAGAGGGUGCGAGCGUUAAUCGGAUUUACUGGGCGUAAAGCGCACGCAGGCGGUCUGACAAGUCAGAUGUGAAAUCCCCGGGCUUAACCUGGGAACUGCAUUUGAAACUGUCAGGCUGGAGUCUUGUAGAGGGGGGUAGAAUUCCAGGUGUAGCGGUGAAAUGCGUAGAGAUCUGGAGGAAUACCGGUGGCGAAGGCGGCCCCCUGGACAAAGACUGACGCUCAGGUGCGAAAGCGUGGGGAGCAAACAGGAUUAGAUACCCCAGUAGUCCCUGUCUCUUAUAC